This 249-nucleotide ribosomal RNA is filed under the name uncultured bacterium. RNAcentral's name for it is "partial 16S ribosomal RNA". It matches the Rfam family "Bacterial small subunit ribosomal RNA", at positions 91 to 339 of the family's 1533-position model. The record is from RNAcentral.
UCCGAUGGCGGACGGGUGAGUAACACGUAAAGAAUCUGCCCUUUAGUCUGGGAUAACAUCUGGAAACAGUUGCUAAUACCGGAUAUUAUAAUUCGAUGGCAUCAUCUUAUUAUGAAAACUAUAUGUGCUAGAGGAGGACUUUGCGGCCCAUUAGCUAGUUGGUGAGGUAAUGGCUCACCAAGGCUUCGAUGGGUAGCCGGCCUGAGAGGGUGUACGGCCACAAGGGGACUGAGACACGGCCCUUACUCC